ACGCUGGCGGCGUGCCUAAUACAUGCAAGUAGAACGCUGAAGGAGGAGCUUGCUUCUCCGGAUGAGUUGCGAACGGGUGAGUAACGCGUAGGUAACCUGCCUGGUAGCGGGGGAUAACUAUUGGAAACGAUAGCUAAUACCGCAUAAGAGUAGAUGUUGCAUGACAUUCGCUUAAAAGGUGCAAUUGCAUCACUACCAGAUGGACCUGCGUUGUAUUAGCUAGUUGGUGGGGUAACGGCUCACCAAGGCGACGAUACAUAGCCGACCUGAGAGGGUGAUCGGCCGCACUGGGACUGAGACACGGCCCAGACUCCUACGGGAGGCAGCAGUAGGGAAUCUUCGGCAAUGGACGGAAGUCUGACCGAGCAACGCCGCGUGAGUGAAGAAGGUUUUCGGAUCGUAAAGCUCUGUUGUAAGAGAAGAACGAGUGUGAGAGUGGAAAGUUCACACUGUGACGGUAUCUUACCAGAAAGGGACGGCUAACUACGUGCCAGCAGCCGCGGUAAUACGUAGGUCCCGAGCGUUGUCCGGAUUUAUUGGGCGUAAAGCGAGCGCAGGCGGUUAGAUAAGUCUGAAGUUAAAGGCUGUGGCUUAACCAUAGUACGCUUUGGAAACUGUUUAACUUGAGUGCAAGAGGGGAGAGUGGAAUUCCAUGUGUAGCGGUGAAAUGCGUAGAUAUAUGGAGGAACACCGGUGGCGAAAGCGGCUCUCUGGCUUGUAACUGACGCUGAGGCUCGAAAGCGUGGGGAGCAAACGGGAUUAGAUACCCUGGUAGUCCACGCCGUAAACGAUGAGUGCUAGGUGUUAGACCCUUUCCGGGGUUUAGUGCCGCAGCUAACGCAUUAAGCACUCCGCCUGGGGAGUACGACCGCAAGGUUGAAACUCAAAGGAAUUGACGGGGGCCCGCACAAGCGG
RNAcentral lists this ribosomal RNA (915 nucleotides) under uncultured bacterium. Its description in RNAcentral is "bacterial SSU rRNA". It matches the Rfam family "Bacterial small subunit ribosomal RNA", at positions 33 to 932 of the family's 1533-position model. The record is from RNAcentral.